This 500-nucleotide ribosomal RNA is filed under the name uncultured bacterium. Its description in RNAcentral is "partial 16S ribosomal RNA". It matches the Rfam family "Bacterial small subunit ribosomal RNA", at positions 29 to 523 of the family's 1533-position model. The record is from RNAcentral.
AUUGAACGCUGGCGGCAUGCCUUACACAUGCAAGCCGAACGGCAGCACGGGUGCUUGCACCUGGUGGCGAGUGGCGAACGGGUGAGUAAUACAUCGGAACGUACCUUAUCGUGGGGGAUAAAGCAGCGAAAGCUGUGCUAAUACCGCAUACGCCCUGAGGGGGAAAGCGGGGGAUCGAAAGACCUCGCGCGAUUAGAGCGGCCGAUGCCUGAUUAGCUUGUUGGUGGGGUAAAAGCCCACCAAGGCGACGAUCAGUAGCUGGUCUGAGAGGACGAUCAGCCACACUGGGACUGAGACACGGCCCAGACUCCUACGGGAGGCAGCAGUGGGGAAUUUUGGACAAUGGGGCAACCCUGAUCCAGCAAUGCCGCGUGAGUGAAGAAGGCCUUCGGGUUGUAAAGCUCUUUUGUCAGGGAAGAAACACCGGCUCUAACACAGUCCGGGAAUGACGGUACCUGAAGAAUAAGCACCGGCUAACUACGUGCCAGCAGCCGCGGUAA